GACGAACGCUGGCGGCGUGCUUAACACAUGCAAGUCGAACGGAAAGACCCUGCUUUUGUGGGGUGCUCGAGUGGCGAACGGGUGAGUAACACGUGAGUAACCUGCCCUUGACUUUGGGAUAACUUCAGGAAACUGGGGCUAAUACCGGAUAGGAGCUCCUGCUGCAUGGUGGGGGUUGGAAAGUUUCGGCGGUUGGGGAUGGACUCGCGGCUUAUCAGCUUGUUGGUGGGGUAGUGGCUUACCAAGGCUUUGACGGGUAGCCGGCCUGAGAGGGUGAACGGGCACAUUGGGACUGAGAUACGGACCAGACUCCUACGGGAGGCAGCAGUGGGGAAUAUUGCACAAUGGGCGGAAGCCUGAUGCAGCAACGCCGCGUGCGGGAUGACGGCCUUCGGGUUGUAAACCGCUUUCGCCUGUGACGAAGCGUGAGUGACGGUAAUGGGUAAAGAAGCACCGGCUAACUACGUG
Molecule: ribosomal RNA, 468 nt
Filed under: uncultured bacterium
Lineage: Bacteria
Description: partial 16S ribosomal RNA
Rfam family: Bacterial small subunit ribosomal RNA
Source: RNAcentral